CCAUUUGCACGUGUGCUGCCAACAGACCAUUCUCUCCUACACAUGAGAUUUAACCAGACCCAAAAGCUAUAAAACCUAGAGACGUUUCAUUGUUGAUUUGGAAGAAGAAACGGUAUGGGCUGUAAGAACUGGAAAAGAUUUCUUCUGACUAUUAAACUCUGAGCUAUUUCAAAGCAAUAGAUUCUAGCUAUAGAGUGUUUAAUAAAAUGAGGAGGUUUGGGAUCUUCCAAGCUAUGUUUCAUUUCCUAACCCUAGACCAUGCUUCUGCAACUGGAACUAGAGAUCAAUGGGAAGAGCAACAAGGGCCAAUUUUUCUUCUCCCAAAGCCAGGGGAAGAAAA
Molecule: long non-coding RNA, 340 nt
Filed under: Homo sapiens (human)
Lineage: Eukaryota; Metazoa; Chordata; Mammalia; Primates; Hominidae
Description: HSALNT0066594
Source: RNAcentral